CGCGGGGUGGAGCAGCCUGGUAGCUCGUCGGGCUCAUAACCCGAAGGUCGUCGGUUCAAAUCCGGCCCCCGCAG
This 74-nucleotide transfer RNA is filed under the name Escherichia coli. RNAcentral describes it as "tRNA-Met". It matches the Rfam family "tRNA". From Rfam's summary of the family: Transfer RNA (tRNA) molecules are approximately 80 nucleotides in length. Lineage: Bacteria; Pseudomonadati; Pseudomonadota; Gammaproteobacteria; Enterobacterales; Enterobacteriaceae. The record is from RNAcentral.